CCUAAGUGGCGGACGGGUGAGUAACGCGUGAGUAACCUGCCUUUCAGAGGGGAAUAACGUUCUGAAAAGAACGCUAAUACCGCAUAACGUACAGUUACCGCAUGGUAGCAGUACCAAAGGAGCAAUCCGCUGAAAGAUGGACUCGCGUCCGAUUAGCUAGUUGGUGGGGUAAAGGCCUACCAAGGCGACGAUCGGUAGCCGGACUGAGAGGUUGAACGGCCACAUUGGGACUGAGACACGGCCCAG
Molecule: ribosomal RNA, 246 nt
Filed under: uncultured bacterium
Lineage: Bacteria
Description: partial 16S ribosomal RNA
Rfam family: Bacterial small subunit ribosomal RNA
Source: RNAcentral